RNAcentral lists this ribosomal RNA (447 nucleotides) under uncultured bacterium. RNAcentral's name for it is "partial 16S ribosomal RNA". It matches the Rfam family "Bacterial small subunit ribosomal RNA", at positions 330 to 792 of the family's 1533-position model. The record is from RNAcentral.
UCCAGACUCCUACGGGAGGCAGCAGUGGGGAAUAUUGGGCAAUGGGCGCAAGCCUGACCCAGCAACGCCGCGUGAAGGAAGAAGGCUUUCGGGUUGUAAACUUCUUUUAAGAGGGAAGAGAAGAAGACGGUACCUCUUGAAUAAGCCACGGCUAACUACGUGCCAGCAGCCGCGGUAAUACGUAGGUGGCAAGCGUUGUCCGGAUUUACUGGGUGUAAAGGGCGUGCAGCCGGGCUGACAAGUCAGAUGUGAAAUCCCGCGGCUCAACCGCGGAACUGCAUUUGAAACUGUCAGUCUUGAGUACCGGAGAGGUCAUCGGAAUUCCUUGUGUAGCGGUGAAAUGCAUAGAUAUCACGCAGAACUCCGAUUGCGAAGGCAGCGUACCGGCGCCCAACUGACGCUGAAGCACGAAGGCGUGGGUAUCGAACAGGAUUAGAUACCCCAGUA